Molecule: ribosomal RNA, 460 nt
Filed under: uncultured bacterium
Lineage: Bacteria
Description: partial 16S ribosomal RNA
Rfam family: Bacterial small subunit ribosomal RNA
Source: RNAcentral
CCUACGGGAGGCAGCAGUGAGGAAUAUUGGUCAAUGGGCGAGAGCCUGAACCAGCCAAGUCGCGUGAAGGAUGACGGCCCUACGGGUUGUAAACUUCUUUUGUCAGGGAGCAAUUGAGUCCACGUGUGGUUUUAUCGAGAGUACCUGAAGAAAAAGCAUCGGCUAACUCCGUCCCAGCAGCCGCGGUAAUACGGAGGAUGCGAGCGUUAUCCGGAUUUAUUGGGUUUAAAGGGUGAGUAGGCGGAAUAUCAAGUCAGCGGUAAAAAUUCGGGUCUAAACCUCGUCGUGCGGUUGAAACUGAUGUUCUUGAGUGGGCGGGAGGUAGGCGGAAUGCGUGGUGUAGCGGUGAAAUGCAUAGAUAUCACGCAGAACUCCGAUUGUGAAGGCAGCAUACCGGCGCCCAACUGACGCUGAAGCACGAAAGCGUGGGUAUCGAACAGGAUUAGAUACCCUGGUAGUC